This 348-nucleotide ribosomal RNA is filed under the name uncultured fungus. RNAcentral's name for it is "SSU rRNA". It matches the Rfam family "Eukaryotic small subunit ribosomal RNA", at positions 20 to 370 of the family's 1831-position model. The record is from RNAcentral. Lineage: Eukaryota; Fungi.
GUAGUCAUAUGCUUGUCUCAAAGAUUAAGCCAUGCAUGUCUAAGUAUAAGCACUUUAUACUGUGAAACUGCGAAUGGCUCAUUAAAUCAGUUAUCGUUUAUUUGAUAGUACCUUACUACAUGGAUACCUGUGGUAAUUCUAGAGCUAAUACAUGCUAAAAACCCCGACUUCAGGAAGGGGUGUAUUUAUUAGAUAAAAAACCAACGCCCUUCGGGGCUCCUUGGUGAAUCAUAAUAACUUAACGAAUCGCAUGGCCUUGCGCCGGCGAUGGUUCAUUCAAAUUUCUGCCCUAUCAACUUUCGAUGGUAGGAUAGUGGCCUACCAUGGUGGCAACGGGUAACGGGGAAU